ACCCUGAUCCCAAGCACCAAGGAGCCGACGAUUUGGAUCAAGUCCUACAUCCCAAGCACCAAGGUGCCUGGUUGAAGCACCAAGGAUCAAGUCCUACAUCCCGAUUUGAAGCACCAAGGAGCCUAGGUUAUGGAUAAAGACCCCGAUCUGAAGCGACAAGGAGGAAAGGAUUUAGAUCAAGACUCUGAUCACAAGCACCAAGGCGCCGAGGAAUUGGAUCAAGAUCAAGUAGGCUAUGUUAUUAUAUGUUUCCCACACCGUUCAGGGCAUUUUGGUGGUUGUAUCGGCUUUUUGUUGCUUGCUUGGUGUUAGUGCCAAGGGAGUGGCUGGAAGCUAGGUCGUCCUCUGGAAUGCUUGUUGUAAAGGUGUAUGAGUUGUGUUUGGCUUGUUACGGGUGUUUGUUGGCUGCUUGUGCAGGAACUUUCAUGCGUUCAAGCCUCUUCAGUUGUGCUACAAGGCCUUGUUUGUCUUGUGCUUACGGUGGGUUUCCUGUGUUGCAUACCUUAUCAAGGGCAUCGUGUGGCUCGAUCGAAGUACAUAUUCGUAAUGCGCUGCUUGCGGCGUUGAACGAACCUCGAAGCGAUCUCUGUGGCCCAUGUUGUCUUUGCUCACGCAUGGAUGGCAUGGCCCUCGGGGCGUCGCUUGGUCUCUUGGAUAUGGAACCUGAUGAUGUGGGCGGUAGGGUCUUUGAUGAUUCUACCUUUGC
This 706-nucleotide unclassified non-coding RNA is filed under the name Tolpis azorica. RNAcentral's name for it is "partial external transcribed spacer". Lineage: Eukaryota; Viridiplantae; Streptophyta; Magnoliopsida; Asterales; Asteraceae. The record is from RNAcentral.